This 65-nucleotide transfer RNA is filed under the name Limenitis sydyi. RNAcentral's name for it is "tRNA-Phe". Lineage: Eukaryota; Metazoa; Arthropoda; Insecta; Lepidoptera; Nymphalidae. The record is from RNAcentral.
AUUUAAAUAGCUUAUUAAGAGUAUAAUAUUGAAGAUAUUAGGGUGAUUAAUAUAAUCUUUAAAUA